This is a non-coding RNA of Pelobates cultripes (western spadefoot toad), 519 nucleotides long. The record is from the annotation of a GenBank genome assembly. NCBI's taxonomy places the organism in Eukaryota, Metazoa, Chordata, Amphibia, Anura, Pelobatidae.
CUCAAUUAAUAUUUUUGUUCAGUAUUUACAGAUGAAAAUAAAGAAAAGGGGCCUCAGUUAGGAAAAGGGACAAAUGAGUCAUUGGUUGCAUGUGAGUUUACAGAGGAAGAGGUUCUAUUUCAACUGUCAAAAGUAAAAACAAAUAAGUCAAUGGGACCUGAUGGAAUACACCCAAAGUUGUUAAAAUAGCUUAGUGGUGGACUAGCAAAACCAUUAACAGAUUUAUUUAAGCAAUCAUUGUUAACAGGAGUAGUCCCAGAAGAUUGCAUGUUAGCGAAUGUGGUGCCCAUUCACAAGAAAGGUAGUAGGGAGGAGUCGGACAACUAUAGGCCAGUAAGCCUUUCUUCAGUAGUGUGGAAAGUAAUAGAAACCAUGUUAAAUGAUCAGAUUGUUGAACAUCUAAAAAACACAUGGAUUUCAAGAUCAGAGACAACAUGGGUUUACUUCAAGGAGAUCAUGCCAAACUAAUCUUAUUGAUUUUUUUUGAUUGGGUAACUAAAAACUAAAAUACACAAGACA